Caenorhabditis elegans is the source of this 281-nucleotide non-coding RNA. NCBI's taxonomy places the organism in Eukaryota, Metazoa, Nematoda, Chromadorea, Rhabditida, Rhabditidae. The record is from Ensembl.
CAAAUAAGGAAAUUAACGAUACAUUCCGAUACAAGGAAACUCGUGUAUAGUCAUUCUUUUUCGUGUUUUUUCCAUCUGGACUUGAAUAAGAACAGGAGUUCCAAAUGUUUGAAUAAAUUAAGCCGCUGAUAGAAGAGAUCCCAGACCAACUUCCUGGCUGAAGAGUUUUUUGUUUAUGACGAAACAACGGAAUUGACAGACAAGAAUCUCGUUAACUAAUUGACAUUGAAAUUAGUUUUCCAAGAUGGAAAUUUUCUGAAGGACUAAAUUCUUUUAACCGU